Molecule: long non-coding RNA, 1398 nt
Filed under: Meriones unguiculatus (Mongolian gerbil)
Lineage: Eukaryota; Metazoa; Chordata; Mammalia; Rodentia; Muridae
Description: lncRNA (ENSMUGG00000014881.1)
Source: RNAcentral
AUGGGUUCCAGCACUGCGCUUGGGCCCUGGCGCCUGGUGGCGGCACCUGCCCAUGUCCAGCCCUCUCAGCAGCCCGGAGCUAACGCCUUAAGCCUGACCUCCCCAAGGCGCCCGGCACCAGACCUCCCUGCCAGUUGCUCCAACCAGCACUUUCGGGCCUCCUUGCCAAGACCCCAGGCGCUCACCUGCCUCAGGCCCCUCUCCGUCCACCCCCUCCACAGGCUCCUCUUCCUCUUCCUCCAGGCCCUGGAAGUCCAGCUCCUGCUCCUCGGGAAUGGGCUCCUUGGGGCCCUUCUGUGGGAAAGGCAGAGUGGACACGGUAGCGGCGCAGCUGGGGACAGCUCCCACGGACCGCGGCUGGGCCCCAAAGGCGGGUACCUUAAGAGGCAGGAAGGCCCCAGAGGCGUCGAACGUGCCCAUCUCCUCAUCUUCGUCAUCCAGGCACCACUCUGGGAGUCCAUCUUUGUCCUCCUCAAAGCCUUCGAGCCCACGGCACCUCCGCAGGUGAGAGCCGCCUCCCCCAACCCGCCCGUCCUCGUCGGCAGUCCCUCCUCGCUCCCCUCGCAAGUCAAAGUCAAACUUGCGCCUCCGCUCCCCAUGCUCUCGCCAGCCAGCAGAGCGGGGGCCGCCAUCUGGAAGACAAAGCCGGGCGGCCCUGUACCCAGGCAAGCCAGACCUGCCUGCUCCAGCUCCCCAGGCCUCCCCGGCAGUGGCUUCCCUGGGAGGCUCACUGCUCAAGCAAGGCCACUCCUCCCUGUAGUUCGGGUCCCCACAGGGACAGGCCCGAGCCCUGCCCCAUCUUACCAGGGCUGGUGGAGCGCCAGCGGUCCCCAUCUCGCCGAGGCCCUGCCCCAAGCCUCCAGCUGCCGUCCUCCUCCUGCUCCUCUCGGAGCGAGCGCCAGUUCUCGCUGUCUGAGCGCGCGUGCUCCUUCCUCGGGCCGGCCCCUCCCUCCUCAAAGCCGGAGCGCGCUGGCGGGGAGAGGCGGUGAGCGGGAGAGGCUGAGCCUCCACCCUGGAGCCCACCUGGGCGGCCUCCCCACCCUGCGGCCUGCACUCAGCACCCUCCUACCUCCGUCCCUCCUCGCAGACUUCUCGAACCGCCGCUCACCUCUGCAGAAGAAAGGUGCCCUCUGCUCAGAGCGGGACAUCAGAAUGGGGACGACACCCCACAGCCGGGAUGCACAGGGCAGGCAGGACCCGGAGGCCUUGAUCAGGCUGGCCUGGGGUCUCUGUCCCUCUGCAGCACCCUCCCUGCUCUGGCCGCCCCCUCCAUCUUCCCACCGACCUGUCAUCCCAGCUCUGGCUUCGCUGGAUCUCCCGGGGAUUGCGGCCAAAGGCCCCAUCACCCUCCUCAAUGCUUCUUUGGUAAAAGCAGCUGUCGCCACGGCCCCGGCCUGA